This 484-nucleotide ribosomal RNA is filed under the name uncultured bacterium. RNAcentral's name for it is "partial 16S ribosomal RNA". It matches the Rfam family "Bacterial small subunit ribosomal RNA", at positions 29 to 523 of the family's 1533-position model. The record is from RNAcentral.
AGUGAACGCUGGCGGCGUGCUUAACACAUGCAAGUCGAACGAGAACGGGCUAUAGCUUGCUAUAGUUGUCAGCUAAGUGGCGCACGGGUGAGUAAUGUAUAGGUAAUAUGCCUCUUACUAAGGGAUAACAAAUGGAAACGUUUGCUAAUACCUUAUACUCCUUAUUAACAGAAGUUAAUAAGGGAAAGAUUUAUUGGUAAGAGAUUAGCCUGUAUUGUAUCAGUUAGUUGGUGGGGUAAUGGCUUACCAAGACUAUGACACAUAACUGGUUUGGGAGGAUGAUCAGUCACACGGGAACUGAGACACAGUCCAGACUCCUACGGGAGGCAGCAGUGGGGAAUAUUGCACAAUGGACGAAAGUCUGAUGCAGCAACGCCGCGUGGAGGAUGACACAUUUCGGUGCGUAAACUCCUUUUAUAUGAGAAGAUAAUGACGGUAUUAUACGAAUAAGCACCGGCUAACUCCGUGCCAGCAGCCGCCGUAA